GGGGGGAUUUUGCAAAAAAUAUUUUAAUUAUUAUUGCAUUUCAAUUUUCUGAACUUUUAUGAACAUUGGGUUUUUUCUGAACUUUUAUUGUUAAAAAAGGCACUGCGCCAGGAAUGGUACAUAUAUACUACUUUUGUCAUAUUUUACGGGCAACGAAAUUCACGGGAUCAGCUAUAUAGUAUCUUUUUUAUAAAAAAGACUAAAAUUAAAAUUAAAUUAAAUUAAAGGUAAACGAAUUGGAAUUUUACCGUCACCAUUGAGUUUCGAUUAAAAAUGUACGGUGAUAAUACCGUCGCCAACGACAUUAUUAUUGAAUAACGGAUAUUUGAAAUUAUAUUCUACUAGAUAAUCAACGGAUAAAAAUAAAAAUAAAAAAUGAAUAUUUUUUGACGAAUAAGAGUAUAAGAAGUCGCGGGCCUGCGUUUUAUGAUAAAAAUAACACUUUAUCAAACAACCCAAUAUUUUGAUGUAUUGAUGUAUAAUGAAUAUAUUAUGCAUAUAAUUUUUUAAUGUAAUCCCCCCCGCAUUGAAAAUUACAACGACGUAAGUUUUGUAUUAUAUAAUAUAUAAUAUUAUUUUAUUCUUAUUUUAUUAUUUGUAUUGCAUAGGGGGUCAAGGAGCGAAUGGAUAUUAUAUGAAAAAUUACCUUGAAACAACUAAUGAUGACGGGCUUCCAGAAUAUGAUGAUCCAGUAACAUAUUGUUUUCGAUGAUUAGUAAAACAUUGUUGUUAGAUUUAAUUAAUACAUAAAAAAAAUUGUUUAUGUAUAUACUUGCACUUUUAAAAUUAUGAUGGUUUAAUAUAUAAGCAAUUUUGUUCUUCAUUAGGUAAAACGAUUUUAUAUUUAUGAUUUAUAUAAUCUUAUUAGAUAUAUGAAUAACAUUGUUUUAUUUGAUAAAGCAUAAUUUUUCUAUAUUA
Molecule: long non-coding RNA, 918 nt
Organism: Acyrthosiphon pisum (pea aphid)
Lineage: Eukaryota; Metazoa; Arthropoda; Insecta; Hemiptera; Aphididae
Exons: 3
Source: RefSeq, a predicted model, not a curated record